This 294-nucleotide long non-coding RNA is filed under the name Solanum tuberosum (potato). Its description in RNAcentral is "long non-coding RNA (STUB_LNC005976)". The record is from RNAcentral. Lineage: Eukaryota; Viridiplantae; Streptophyta; Magnoliopsida; Solanales; Solanaceae.
GUAAAGGAGAAAGGUAUAUUCACAAAUGUGAUAUCUCCAACAGCUAAGGCGAAACUUAGAUUGCUCUUUGAAGUGGCACCAUUAGGAUUCUUGAUUGAAAAAGCUGGAGGUUACAGCAGCGAUGGGAAACAAUCCGUCCUUGACAAAGUGAUCGUUAAUCUUGAUGACCGGACUCAAGUUGCUUAUGGUUCCAAGAAUGAGAUUAUCCGAUUUGAAGAAACACUCUACGGAUCAUCAAGGCUUAAGGCUGGUGCACCAGUUGGUGCUGCUGUUUGAGGCUAGAGAAUGCAGCAA